AAUAAGUAAAUUUAUAUUAAUACUUCGAAAAUUCACGUUAUUUAAUUUAAUUUGUUAUUAUUAUAAGAGCUCAAAAUAAAGCAGUUUGUUUUCUUCCUCAAAGUAAACGAAGAAAUAUAUUGGCCUAUUACUGGGAGAAAGUACAGGUGAACCACCUACAACACGAUAUCGCUACAGCGCGGUUGAAACAAUGCGGAAAAUUUCCUACAAUGCCACAAUUCUAUAAUAACAGAAUCUCAGUUUCUGUAUCUUCCAUAACGCGAUUUCUCACAACGCGGUAUUUUCAAGGAACGUAUCUACCGCAUUGUAGAAGGUUCACCUGUACUCAUACUAAGGAAAAGUAACAGGAUUUCUGUGUACUGUUGGAGGAACCAUUUGUAUCUGAACGGAAAUUUGCGGCGCCCUAUUUUAAUUUAGAAAAAAGUUUUUAAUGUUUUAUUUGUAAGUUCAUAUUUUCAUAUUUAAGUAAUUAAUUAAAUAAUCAUAUGUCAUUGUAUUCUUAAACUGAAAAUUAUAUGUAUAUAUACAUAUAAACUCACAUAAUAAUGAAAGAUUAAUCAAGAA
Non-coding RNA from Megalopta genalis, 564 nucleotides. The record is from RefSeq and is a predicted model, not a curated record. NCBI's taxonomy places the organism in Eukaryota, Metazoa, Arthropoda, Insecta, Hymenoptera, Halictidae.